RNAcentral lists this transfer RNA (68 nucleotides) under Hymenocera picta. RNAcentral's name for it is "tRNA-Gln". The record is from RNAcentral. Lineage: Eukaryota; Metazoa; Arthropoda; Malacostraca; Decapoda; Palaemonidae.
UAUGCUUUGGUGUAAAGGCACAUAAAGUUUUGAUCUUUAGGGGGUUGGUGUGAUUCCAAUAAGUGUAG